This 375-nucleotide ribosomal RNA is filed under the name uncultured bacterium. Its description in RNAcentral is "bacterial SSU rRNA". It matches the Rfam family "Bacterial small subunit ribosomal RNA", at positions 523 to 898 of the family's 1533-position model. The record is from RNAcentral.
AUACGUAGGGUGCGAGCGUUAAUCGGAAUUACUGGGCGUAAAGCGUGCGCAGGCGGUUAUGUAAAACAGAUGUGAAAUCCCCGGGCUCAACCUGGGAACUGCAUUUGUGACUGCAUGGCUAGAGUACGGUAGAGGGGGAUGGAAUUCCGCGUGUAGCAGUGAAAUGCGUAGAUAUGCGGAGGAACACCGAUGGCGAAGGCAAUCCCCUGGACCUGUACUGACGCUCAUGCACGAAAGCGUGGGGAGCAAACAGGAUUAGAUACCCUGGUAGUCCACGCCCUAAACGAUGUCAACUGGUUGUUGGGAAUUAGUUUUCUCAGUAACGAAGCUAACGCGUGAAGUUGACCGCCUGGGGAGUACGGCCGCAAGGUUGAA